Molecule: small RNA, 206 nt
Filed under: Pseudofrankia inefficax
Lineage: Bacteria; Bacillati; Actinomycetota; Actinomycetes; Frankiales; Frankiaceae
Description: Frankia inefficax c-di-AMP sequence
Rfam family: c-di-AMP riboswitch aptamer (ydaO/yuaA leader)
About the family: This family represents a conserved RNA structure found upstream of the ydaO and yuaA genes in Bacillus subtilis and related genes in other bacteria. The ydaO/yuaA element is thought to act as a genetic "off" switch for the ydaO and yuaA genes in its native state.
Source: RNAcentral
CCGGACCGAACGCCGAAUCCUGCCCGCGGUCCCGGUGUCCCCUCCGAGUCGUCACCACGGGCAGGAGCGGGGGAACCACCCGUGCAAGACCGGCCGGCGCGAAAGCGCUGGCCUUGGGGUGAAGCCCCUCGCGCGCCAGUCGCGCGGGGGCCGGGCAGCCCAGCCCGAACCCGACAGCUCACCUCGUAGGCGUACGGGAAGGACCA